RNAcentral lists this ribosomal RNA (421 nucleotides) under uncultured bacterium. Its description in RNAcentral is "bacterial SSU rRNA". It matches the Rfam family "Bacterial small subunit ribosomal RNA", at positions 355 to 776 of the family's 1533-position model. The record is from RNAcentral.
UCGAGAAUCUUUAGCAAUGGGCGAAAGCCUGACUAUGCGACGCCGCGUGAGGGAUGAAAUCCUUCGGGAUUUAAACCUCUUUCGAUCGGGAAGAAAGACCUCGUUGAGAGGAGCUGACGGUACCGAGAGAAGAAGCCACGGCUAACUCCGUGCCAGCAGCCGCGGUAAUACGGGGGUGGCAAGCGUUACUCGGAUUUAUUGGGUGUAAAGGGCAGGUAGGCGUUCCAAAAAGUUUCAGGUGAAAUCCUUGGGCUCAACUCAAGAACUGCCUGAAAAACUGUUGGAAUUGAGGGUGAAAGAGGAGAACGGAAUUCCCGGUGUAAGGGUGAAAUCUGUAGAUAUCGGGAGGAACACCAGUGGUGAAGACGGUUCUCUGGUUCACAACUGACGCUGAACUGCGAAAGCUAGGGUAGCAAACAGA